Molecule: ribosomal RNA, 497 nt
Filed under: uncultured bacterium
Lineage: Bacteria
Description: partial 16S ribosomal RNA
Rfam family: Bacterial small subunit ribosomal RNA
Source: RNAcentral
GACGAACGCUGGCGGCGUGCCUAAUACAUGCAAGUUGAGCGCUGAAGGUUGGUACUUGUACCAACUGGAUGAGCAGCGAACGGGUGAGUAACGCGUGGGGAAUCUGCCUUUGAGCGGGGGACAACAUUUGGAAACGAAUGCUAAUACCGCAUAAAAACUUUAAACACAAGUUUUAAGUUUGAAAGAUGCAAUUGCAUCACUCAAAGAUGAUCCCGCGUUGUAUUAGCUAGUUGGUGAGGUAAAGGCUCACCAAGGCGAUGAUACAUAGCCGACCUGAGAGGGGGAUCGGCCACAUUGGGACUGAGACACGGCCCAAACUCCUACGGGAGGCAGCAGUAGGGAAUCUUCGGCAAUGGACGAAAGUCUGACCGAGCAACGCCGCGUGAGUGAAGAAGGGUCUCGGAUCGUAAAACUCUGUUGGUAGAGAAGAACGUUGGUGAGAGUGGAAAGCUCAUCAAGUGACGGUAACUACCCAGAAAGGGACGGCUAACUACGUG